CGUAAGCUGGAAAAGAAGGGGUAUCCCCCCGUCAGGGGAUCGUUGUAUGCAAACGCUGUAAACCUCUAAAGGCUGUUCAGUUAAGUUUAUUCUAGUAGAAUCGGUGUGGUUUCGUUGGCCAUCGCAGAGCAUCACGUCUCGAGGAUGGUUCCACUACAUGCUGGCGGGAUACCUGCGAGUACGUUGGUGAAUGGCCAUUGACGCCACCUUCGCGUAGGCGGCUCGUCUUUAAGUGGAGCAGUUGUACAUACACCCUUCCAACCGGCUUUCCGGUAUAUUACUCAAACCCUCUGUGUACCUAUCCAUGUUGCUUCCCCACUGCUUAUAUGUGGUGGGGAAGGUCCAAUUCCAAACCCUUUAGCUAAACCACAGUCAGAAACAAAACAAAAAAACAGUUAAAACUUUCAACAACGGAUCUCUUGGUUCCCACAUCGAUGAAGAACGCAGCGAAAUGCGAUAAGUAAUGUGAAUUGCAGAAUUCAGUGAAUCAUCGAAUCUUUGAACGCACAUUGCGCCCUCUGGUAUUCCGGGGGGCAUGCCUGUUCGAGCGUCAUAAACAACUCUCCCCCAAACUCUUGUUGUGAGGGGGGUACUGGCCGGUAGGCGUUUGGCUCCACAGGCCUUUCGCCCGGCUCAAAUCAUUGGUCUGUAGGCCCGAGUGCAAACGGCGACGUAGUGGUAACAUUUUCCGUCGCGACUGUUUGCCUCAAGCUCCUAAGACAUUAAACGCUUUAUUGCGUCAAACCCAUUGAUUGACCUCGGAUCAGGUAGGGAUACCCGCUGAACUUAA
Molecule: ribosomal RNA, 790 nt
Filed under: Verpa bohemica
Lineage: Eukaryota; Fungi; Ascomycota; Pezizomycetes; Pezizales; Morchellaceae
Description: eukaryotic LSU rRNA
Rfam family: 5.8S ribosomal RNA (bases 400-553)
Source: RNAcentral